RNAcentral lists this ribosomal RNA (429 nucleotides) under Bacillota bacterium. RNAcentral's name for it is "Firmicutes bacterium partial 16S ribosomal RNA". It matches the Rfam family "Bacterial small subunit ribosomal RNA", at positions 355 to 776 of the family's 1533-position model. Lineage: Bacteria; Bacillati; Bacillota. The record is from RNAcentral.
UAGGGAAUCUUCCACAAUGGACGCAAGUCUGAUGGAGCAACGCCGCGUGAGUGAAGAAGGUUUUCGGAUCGUAAAGCUCUGUUGUUGGUGAAGAAGGAUAGAGGCAGUAACUGGUCUUUAUUUGACGGUAAUCAACCAGAAAGUCACGGCUAACUACGUGCCAGCAGCCGCGGUAAUACGUAGGUGGCAAGCGUUGUCCGGAUUUAUUGGGCGUAAAGCGAGCGCAGGCGGAAUGAUAAGUCUGAUGUGAAAGCCCACGGCUCAACCGUGGAACUGCAUCGGAAACUGUCAUUCUUGAGUGCAGGAGAGGAGAGUGGAAUUCCAUGUGUAGCGGUUGAAUGCGUAGAUAUAUGGAAGAACACCAGUAGCGAAGGCGGCUCUCUGGUCUGCAACUGACGCUGAGGCUCGAAAGCAUGGGUAGCGAACAUG